GAGCGCCGAGGCUUCACGGUGGCCUGCUCCUUUCGCCAUUCAGGCCGUUGGAGAGCGCUCGCCUCACACGCGAGAGGUCGCUGGUUCGAGCCCAGCCGCGCCCA
RNAcentral lists this transfer RNA (104 nucleotides) under Actinomycetota bacterium. RNAcentral's name for it is "tRNA-Val". Lineage: Bacteria; Bacillati; Actinomycetota. The record is from RNAcentral.